Molecule: long non-coding RNA, 1203 nt
Organism: Carassius gibelio (silver crucian carp)
Lineage: Eukaryota; Metazoa; Chordata; Actinopteri; Cypriniformes; Cyprinidae
Exons: 2
Source: RefSeq, a predicted model, not a curated record
AUUUGCUUAGCGGUUUUGGAAAAUGACUUAGUUCCACUUUAUGUCGUCUUUUUUUUUUUUUUUUUUUAAGCUGUACAUGUGGAAAGUGCAGUUUGAUGACAACAUCGCAUGUUGUUUACUUGAUGUGCUUACGCGCUGAUAGCUAAGUUAACAACACAGAGAUAUUUAAAGCAGUUUUACUCACCGCAUGUGGUUCCAACACACAAUCGUGACCCUUUUCCGUUGGGACUGCAUUAUCCUUAAGAAAUAAACGACGUGGAAUCCGAAAUGCAGGGAACAAACAAAAACACUUGCACAACUCCGUUGAUGCUCUGUAAAAAUAAACUCCAUCCACUGGUCCCUUAAUGCUGUUUCUCUUUUGGUAAUCUUUGCAGGGUUGUCUUGCCCUGGCAACCAAAAACACACUUCUUUUGUGACUUUUCGCGACGCUCUCGCUCUGAUCAGGCUGUGCUCAGCCUCUCUCUGCUCUGCUAUACGGGAGUGCGCGCUCUUCCGGCAGAAGAGCGCGCACUUAGGACCCAUAUAAGGAAAUUCCGCUCCAUCUAACGUCACACAGAGCCAUACUCGAAAAAAACUUUCCGAAACUUGUGACAAACCGGAAGAGGUUUUUUUGGAACAAAAAUACUCCUUCAAACGUACAACUUAAUUUUUGAAACUUUGUCCAUGUUUAGCAUGGGAAUCCAACUCUUUAACAGUGUAAAAAACUCAGUAUGCAUGAAAUAGCAUUUCACCCCCCCCCCCCCUUUAAGCAGUGGUGCUGCUUUAAGAAAGACUGUUGUAUUUGAUUGCUAUUGUGUGAUCAGGGCCUGUAGUGUAUCUUCAAGACAGCCUGUUGUACUGGCUGUAGUGAUUAGAAAUGUGUUUCUUUUUUUUGUUUAUUCUUCUGCCUGCAGACGCAGUAAGGAGGUGGGUGCCACUUUUAUUUAAUCAACUUAUGCUUUUCUCCUGGUUUUGUGGAACAGUGAGGAAGUCAGGGAAGAGACAUGUUGUUGAUUUUGAUGUUUUGUUUGCUAGGUAAGUUAGAUUACUUUGUUUUCAGUUAGCAUCCCCUUUUUGUUUGUUAUUUUGGCCUUAACCCCCUCCUGAAGCUACAAGCGUCUUAUUCUUUCUUUUUGAAUUAUCCAUAUUGUUAAACCUCUAAUUUUCCCUUCCCCUUUAAUGCUGUACAAAGACUUUACAUUUUAAAUAAAAUCUUGAAGAGUU